GACGAACGCUGGCGGCGGGCUUAACACAUGCAAGUCGAACGGAAAGGCCCUGCUUUUGUGGGGUGCUCGAGUGGCGAACGGGUGAGUAACACGUGUGUAACCUGCCCUUGACUUUGGGAUAACUUCAGGAAACUGGGGCUAAUACCGGAUAGGAGCUCCUGUUGCAUGGUGGGGGGUGGAAAGUUUCGGCGGUUGGGGAUGGACUCGCGGCUGAUCAGCUUGUUGGUGGGGUAGUGGCUUACCAAGGCUUUGACGGGUAGCCGGCCUGAGAGGGUGACCGGCCACAUUGGGCCUGAGAUACGGCCCAGACUCCUACGGGAGGCAGCAGUGGGGAAUAUUGCACAAUGGGCGGAAGCCUGAUGCAGCAACGCCGCGUGCGGGAUGACGGCCUUCGGGUUGUAAACCGCUUUCGCCUGUGACGAAGCGUGAGUGACGGUAAUGGGUAAAGAAGCACCGGCUAACUACGUG
This 468-nucleotide ribosomal RNA is filed under the name uncultured bacterium. RNAcentral describes it as "partial 16S ribosomal RNA". It matches the Rfam family "Bacterial small subunit ribosomal RNA", at positions 28 to 507 of the family's 1533-position model. The record is from RNAcentral.